GAGGAAUAUUGGUCAAUGGGCGCGAGCCUGAACCAGCCAAGUAGCGUGCAGGAUGACGGCCCUAUGGGUUGUAAACUGCUUUUGUAUGGGGAUAAAGUCAAUCGCGUGUGAUUGUUUGCAGGUACCAUACGAAUAAGGACCGGCUAAUUCCGUGCCAGCAGCCGCGGUAAUACGGAAGGUCCGGGCGUUAUCCGGAUUUAUUGGGUUUAAAGGGAGCGUAGGCCGGAGAUUAAGUGUGUUGUGAAAUGUAGACGCUCAACGUCUGACUUGCAGCGCAUACUGGUUUUCUUGAGUACGCACAACGUUGGCGGAAUUCGUCGUGUAGCGGUGAAAUGCUUAGAUAUGACGAAGAACUCCGAUUGCGAAGGCAGCUGACGGGAGCGCAACUGACGCUUAAGCUCGAAGGUGCGGGUAUCGAACAGGAUUAGAUACCCUGGUAGUCCGCACAGUAAACGAUGGAUGCCCGCUGUUGGUACCUGGUAUCAGCGGCUAAGCGAAAGCAUUAAGCAUCCCACCUGGGGAGUACGCCGGCAACGGUG
Molecule: ribosomal RNA, 539 nt
Filed under: uncultured bacterium
Lineage: Bacteria
Description: bacterial SSU rRNA
Rfam family: Bacterial small subunit ribosomal RNA
Source: RNAcentral